GGAUAGGGUCCUUACAUGAUUUGUGUAAGAGAAGGGGGAGAUCGCCGGAGAUAUCGUCGGAUUUCAGGGAGAAAUCGCCGGAGAGAAGAGAGGAGUCGCGCAGAGGAAGAAGAGAGAAAUGGGGAAGAAGAAGGGGCUCGUGGUUAUAAAACCUAGGGUCCGACGGACAUUAUCCGUCGGAAUUCCGUCGGAAUUCUAAUUUCAAUUUUCGCGAAAUAUUUGCC
This 224-nucleotide long non-coding RNA is filed under the name Brassica napus (rape). RNAcentral's name for it is "long non-coding RNA (BNAP_LNC016447)". The record is from RNAcentral. Lineage: Eukaryota; Viridiplantae; Streptophyta; Magnoliopsida; Brassicales; Brassicaceae.